CCUACGGGAUACAGCAGUGAGGCAUAUUGGUCAAUGGGCGAGAGCCUGAACCAGCCAAGUCGCGUGAGGGAGUACUGCCCUAUGGGUUGUAAACCUCUUUUGUCGGGGAGCAAAAGCCGGACGUGUCCGGCUGUGAGAGUACCCGAAGAAAAAGCAUCGGCUAACUCCGUGCCAGCAGCCGCGGUAAUACGGAGGAUGCGAGCGUUAUCCGGAUUUAUUGGGUUUAAAGGGUGCGCAGGCGGAUUUUUAAGUCAGCGGUAAAAUCGUGGGGCUCAACCCCAUCCAGCCGUUGAAACUGGGGAUCUAGAGUGUGCGAGAGGUAUGCGGAAUGCGUGGUGUAGCGGUGAAAUGCAUAGAUAUCACGCAGAACCCCGAUUGCGAAGGCAGCAUACCGGUGCACAACUGACGCUCAGGCACGAAAGCGUGGGUAUCGAACAGGAUUAGAUACCCUUGUAGUC
This 458-nucleotide ribosomal RNA is filed under the name uncultured bacterium. RNAcentral's name for it is "partial 16S ribosomal RNA". It matches the Rfam family "Bacterial small subunit ribosomal RNA", at positions 338 to 795 of the family's 1533-position model. The record is from RNAcentral.